Molecule: long non-coding RNA, 3161 nt
Filed under: Chlamydomonas reinhardtii
Lineage: Eukaryota; Viridiplantae; Chlorophyta; Chlorophyceae; Chlamydomonadales; Chlamydomonadaceae
Description: long non-coding RNA (CREI_LNC000952)
Source: RNAcentral
UUUCCUGACGGGUGUGGGGAACCGCAAUGCGGUCCGCAUCCGUCAAUUGAUUGCUGUCUGCACCCCUUGCCUCCGUGUCUGCGUAUGCUUGCGUCCUUUGCCGCCCCUGCGGAGGAUUCGUUUGCGUUGGCUGCUUGUGGCUUCCUGGUGUCGCACGGCAUGCACCGCACGCGCCCAUGCCGACCGCAGUGCGACCGGGAUGAGCCAUGCAGCGAUCGCGCUGUCGUUACUUCCUCGGCCGCCCGGCGCCCUUGCUCAUUUAUUUAACCGCAUCCAUCACGUCCCCGUACUUAGUGUUCUUCGUUUAGUCACCCCGCGCAGCGCACAGCCAUAACAGCCACAGCCUGCAGCCCGGCUUGCGCACCAUGUCCUCGCGGUUGCUUUGGGGUUGACGUUGCUUGCCUCGCGCCUAGCGCCAUAGCUUCUACGCUGCAGUGCAUCACGCCUCCUGUCCCUUCCUCCCUCCCUCCCUUACAUGUCGUGCUGGGCACCGGUGGCGCUGGUGUUCUCCAGGUUGGUUUCGGGCGCAUCCUUUCUGGUAGUCCCAACGCCAGCCCGGCCGGCGUCGUCCAGCCCAGCCAUCCCAAUACAGCAGCCACCUUCCGUCAGCCAGCCAUGGGCGCGACCGUCCACAGCGUUUACCGUCGGUUACGAGGUAACAUGUGAAUUCGCAACUUGCGCUACUGACUGCCUGCUCUCGUGCCGCCUGCAAGCCCACUCCGCCUUCCGCUCUGGUCUACGUACGCAUUAGUUCCGCAACACUCGUCAAUAACAGGACAGUACAGGGAUAAUCGCCCCUGGGCCCCGGCAAGUUCACGCUGGUAUCUGUUGCCCAGUGGCAGGGACCUACUUGAGGUCCCGUCUUCAAGUGUUUGGCAAGGGCGAGCCUCCCGCUUGCGGGUGCAGCCACCAUUCACGCGGUAGCGCAUGCGCCCGCAUCGCCACUUCCUCGGCAACUUCUUCUACUGGUUCACUACAUGGCUGCGCGCUAUUUUUAACGUCCACUUAUCCGUUCUCGAUCAGACAGCAAUUGCAGCCUGCAUCCUACUGCCUUAGACGACAACACACACUCGUUUCGUCCGCGCUCGCCGUUCCGCCUUCCAUGUAGUGCUCUGGGUGUCAGUCAGCCUGAUCCUUUUACCUACUUGUGUCUAUCCGGGCAUCAGCAUGGCUAACAGCAAACGGCGCCGCGUGGGGGUCACCGAGGCAUCCGGCAUCGCGGAGCAGGUCAUCGCGCUCCAUCGCCGCCCGCGCACGCUUCGCCCCCGGCGGACAUGCCGCCCUCUGCGACAACCCGCGGGGUCAUCUACGCCGCCCCCGCGGCCGCAUCGGCUACGUUAUUGGUGAUUACUUGGUUUACUCCUGGGUUCUGUCUACUUGGUUUUUGGUUCAUGUGCCGCCGCCCCCGCGGCCGCCUUGGCGACGACGUGCCGCCGCCCCCGCGGCCGCAUCGGCUACAUUCCGCCGCCCCCGCGGCCGCCCUGGCGCUGCGCCGCCGCCCCCGCGGCCGCCCUGGUUCUGCGCCGCCGCCCCCGCGGCAGCCCUGGCUACGUGCCGCCGCCCCCACGGCCGCCCUGGCUACGUGCCGCCGCCCCCGCGGCCGCCUUGGUCACGUGCCGCCGCCCCCAUGGCGGCGCGUCGCCAUCGCGUCAUCCCAAAAGGAGUAUUCGUUGCGGGCGUGCGCGGCGGCGGCCUCCCAACCCAUACACAGCCCUCGGAGAUGACGCCACCGNNNNNNNNNNNNNNNNNNNNNNNNNNNNNNNNNNNNNNNNNNNNNNNNNNNNNNNNNNNNNNNNNNNNNNNNNNNNNNNNNNNNNNNNNNNNNNNNNNNNCACGGCAUGCACCGCACGCGCCCAUGCCGACCGCAGUGCGACCGGGAUGAGCCAUGCAGCGAUCGCGCUGUCGUUACUUCCUCGGCCGCCCGGCGCCCUUGCUCAUUUAUUUAACCGCAUCCAUCACGUCCCCGUACUUAGUGUUCUUCGUUUAGUCACCCCGCGCAGCGCACAGCCAUAACAGCCACAGCCUGCAGCCCGGCUUGCGCACCAUGUCCUCGCGGUUGCUUUGGGGUUGACGUUGCUUGCCUCGCGCCUAGCGCCAUAGCUUCUACGCUGCAGUGCAUCACGCCUCCUGUCCCUUCCUCCCUCCCUCCCUUACAUGUCGUGCUGGGCACCGGUGGCGCUGGUGUUCUCCAGGUUGGUUUCGGGCGCAUCCUUUCUGGUAGUCCCAACGCCAGCCCGGCCGGCGUCGUCCAGCCCAGCCAUCCCAAUACAGCAGCCACCUUCCGUCAGCCAGCCAUGGGCGCGACCGUCCACAGCGUUUACCGUCGGUUACGAGGUAACAUGUGAAUUCGCAACUUGCGCUACUGACUGCCUGCUCUCGUGCCGCCUGCAAGCCCACUCCGCCUUCCGCUCUGGUCUACGUACGCAUUAGUUCCGCAACACUCGUCAAUAACCAAGACAACCGGUUGCAGGCCAUACAGCACUUGAGGGCAUCGGUAGCCCAGCGCUAGCCUACUUGCGUCCCUGUCUGCCCAUCAGCGGUGCCGUGUCUCUGCCUCCCCAUCCGCGGUAGGGUUCCCGUACGGGGCACAGGAGCCCCGCCCGCUCGCCGUGUGUCCGGCCUUGUCCCAAGCACUCCUCAUUCAGAAUCUCGUGCACCGUGGGAACACCACAGCGUGCCUGACACCCGCCUACCGUACCGUAACGCCGAGUCAGUAGCACCUGCCCUUUCUGAAUGACAUGUGCGUCGCGUCUGGCAACUGCGGACUUGAAGGGUUAGGUGCCACCAAGCCACGAAGGCUCCCAGCAGCGCGGCAAUACAACACAGCCCGUCGCCUGGCUAUGGACCAGUGCAGUAAGAACCGUGUGCCAUCCGGGUGUCAAGAUGCAACGAAGGGACCGCUUCACUCUCGUGCUUAGUGCAGCAUUUGCCGCACUCCGCAACCCAACCUCCCACAAACCACACGCUCCACCCAGCGCCCCAACCGCUUUACACAUCUCAUCACGCUCCAUGCCUCUCAUAUCACUCCAUAGCCCUAUCGCGGUGAACCACCCAACCCACUCGACCCCCCUCCCCACCCUUUGAACCGCCCUCAGCACAGCACUCGCCGCGCGGUGCGCACGUACGCGUACAGCAGCCCGCUGUCGAUGGUGGUCAGCAGC